AGUCUGGUGCCAGCAGCCGCGGUAAUUCCAGCUCCAAUAGCAUACUUUAAAGUUGCUGCAGUUAAAAAGCUCGUAGUUGAAUUUCUGACUUAACAUGCUUAGCCCUUCCGGGUCACCGGUGGAGUGCUGAGUCGUGUUUGUCAUCCUUCCAGAAAAUGUUGUUGCGCUUCACUGCGUUGACAACACUAUCUGGAUCUUUUACUUUGAAAAAAUUAGAGUGUUUAAAGCAGGCUUUUGCUAUGAAUACAUUAGCAUGGAAUAAUAAUUUAGGACUUCGGUUCUAUUUUGUUGGUUUCUAGGACUGAAGUAAUGAUUGAUAGGGACAGUUGGGGAUGCUGAAAUUCAUUGGCCAGAGGUGAAAUUCUUGGAUUCAAUGAAGUUCAACUCAUGCGAAAGCAUUCAUCAAGGAUGUCUUCUUCUAAUCAAGAACGAAAGUUGGGGGAUCGAAGACGAUCAGAUACCGUCGUAGUCUCAACUAUAAACUAUGCCGACUCGGGAUUGGUGAACGUUGCAUUUUCGACUUCAUCAGCACCGUAUGAGAAAUCAAAGUCUUUGGGUUCCGGGGGGAGUAUGAUCGCAAGGUUGAAACUUAAAGGAAUUGACGGAAGGGCACCACCAGGAGUGGAGCCUGCGGCUUAAUUUGACCCAACACGGGAAAACUUACCAGGUCCAGACAUAGUGAGGAUUGACAGAUUGAAGAUCUUUCUUGAUUCUAUGGGUGGUGGUGCAUGGCCGUUCUUAGUUGGUGGAGCGAUUUGUCCGGUUAAUUCCGUUAACGAACGAGACCUCGACCUGCUAAAUAGUUCGGCGAAGGCGUCAGCCUUUGUACGUGACUUCUUAGAGGGACUAUCGGUGCUUUAGCCGAAGGAAGUUCGAGGCAAUAACAGGUCUGUGAUGCCCUUAGAUGUUCUGGGCUGCACGCGCGCUACACUGAUGGUUGCAUCGAGCUUACAACCUUGAUCGGAAGGUCUGGGUAAUCUUUUUAACGUCCAUCGUGCUGGGGAUAGAUUAUUGUAAUUAUUAAUCUUCAACGAGGAAUUCCCAGUAAACGCAAGUCAUCAACUUGCAUUGAUUACGUCCCUGCCCUUUGUACACACCGCCCGUCGCUACUACCGAUUGAAUGGAUUAAUGAGCUGCAGGGAUUGACGCGCUUGUGGGCAACUGCUUGCGUGUCGAGAACUGCAACAAAUUUGUUCAUUUAGAGGAAGUAAAAGUCGUAACAAGGUUUCCGUUGGUGAACCAGCGGAAG
Molecule: ribosomal RNA, 1249 nt
Filed under: metagenome
Description: SSU rRNA
Rfam family: Eukaryotic small subunit ribosomal RNA
Source: RNAcentral